RNAcentral lists this long non-coding RNA (785 nucleotides) under Mustela putorius furo (domestic ferret). RNAcentral's name for it is "lncRNA (ENSMPUG00000028127.1)". The record is from RNAcentral. Lineage: Eukaryota; Metazoa; Chordata; Mammalia; Carnivora; Mustelidae.
AAGCAAGUUGUGUUAUUUUUUACCAGCACGUGCCUUUAUUGAAGGUGUGAAGCCAAUAAUGACACAAUGUAACAUUGGCGAGCCUGACACUCAUUACCUAAUUUAAUCUUCACAGCAACUCUGUAAAGUACAGAGUUAUUCCCAUUUUACAAGAUAUGGCAACUGAGAUUCGGGAAAAGGUUUUACAGCUUGGAACUGGCAGAUACAAUCUGUCUGAAUCUCAUCCACCACUCUGGCCUCUGAUUCUCCACAGCUCCUAAGUACAGAUACUGGCAUUGCUCUAUUUCCUGGCGUGGCCAGAAGUGUGUGAACAAAAUUGGAUAAUUUCACAUCUACAGGUACGGAAGUGUCAGUUUCACGAGAGUGGGAGCUGUUCAAAGAUGGGAGAUUAUCAUGUCCACCUAUGCACCCCAGCUCCUAAGAGUAAACCUGGCACACAAUAAGGACCCAGUAUGUGUCUGCUAAAUAGCACAAUAGAUGAACACCAGCAUCCCCAUCUUAUCUGCUCUGUUAUUUCAGACUCCCUAAUUAUGACAUCUCACAGUGACCCUUCGGCCCACCAGGCCUCCAUCAACAGGCUUGAAAUCAGUGUGUCACCAUCUGAGGCAACGGAGCUGGGCGAUCCAACAAGCAGGUACCAGGCCCUCACUAUGUGCAAGGACAUAUGUGAGAUUCUGUGCAGGGUACCCAGCCAAGCAUAUAAGGCCGCACAGUCAAGGAGCUCAGGGCGCCGAUGGAGAGGAGCCAGGAAGCAUGAUCUGAUGCAGAUGGUGGCAUGCUUGUAA